AGUGAACGCUGGCGGUAGGCCUAACACAUGCAAGUCGAACGGCAGCACAGUAAGAGCUUGCUCGUAUGGGUGGCGAGUGGCGGACGGGUGAGGAAUACAUCGGAAUCUACUUUUUCGUGGGGGAUAACGUAGGGAAACUUACGCUAAUACCGCAUACGACCUACGGGUGAAAGCAGGGGAUCUUCGGACCUUGCGCGAUUGAAUGAGCCGAUGUCGGAUUAGCUAGUUGGCGGGGUAAAGGCCCACCAAGGCGACGAUCCGUAGCUGGUCUGAGAGGAUGAUCAGCCACACUGGAACUGAGACACGGUCCAGACUCCUACGGGAGGCAGCAGUGGGGAAUAUUGGACAAUGGGCGCAAGCCUGAUCCAGCCAUACUGCGUGGGUGAAGAAGGCCUUCGGGUUGUAAAGCCCUUUUGUUGGGAAAGAAAAGCAGCAGGUUAAUACCCCGCUGUUCUGACGGUACCCAAAGAAUAAGCACCGGCUAACUUUGUG
Molecule: ribosomal RNA, 492 nt
Filed under: uncultured bacterium
Lineage: Bacteria
Description: partial 16S ribosomal RNA
Rfam family: Bacterial small subunit ribosomal RNA
Source: RNAcentral